CCACAAAACCACGACUUCUACAUGUGUUCACACACAGGAAUGAUUGGAACAACGCGCCCUACUCACUACCAUAUUUUGCUAGAUGAGAUUGGCUUCUCCCCUGAUGAUCUCCAGGAGCUUGUGCAUUCAUUGUCCUAUGUGUGUCAGAGGAGCACAACUGCGAUAUCAAUCGAUAAGUACCGUGUUUCUGUUAUGUGGUAAUUGCCUAUUUUAUGUUAUGAGGGGUUU
Long non-coding RNA from Magnolia sinica, 228 nucleotides. RefSeq lists it as uncharacterized. The record is from RefSeq and is a predicted model, not a curated record. The transcript has 3 exons. NCBI's taxonomy places the organism in Eukaryota, Viridiplantae, Streptophyta, Magnoliopsida, Magnoliales, Magnoliaceae.